RNAcentral lists this ribosomal RNA (1441 nucleotides) under uncultured organism. Its description in RNAcentral is "SSU rRNA". It matches the Rfam family "Bacterial small subunit ribosomal RNA". The record is from RNAcentral.
UUCUACAGGCUUAACACAUGCAAGUCGAGGGGCAGCAUGGUCUUAGCUUGCUAAGGCCGAUGGCGACCGGCGCACGGGUGAGUAACACGUAUCCAACCUGCCGUCUACUCUUGGACAGCCUUCUGAAAGGAAGAUUAAUACAAGAUGGCAUCAUGAGUCCGCAUGUUCACAUGAUUAAAGGUAUUCCGGUAGACGAUGGGGAUGCGUUCCAUUAGAUAGUAGGCGGGGUAACGGCCCACCUAGUCUUCGAUGGAUAGGGGUUCUGAGAGGAAGGUCCCCCACAUUGGAACUGAGACACGGUCCAAACUCCUACGGGAGGCAGCAGUGAGGAAUAUUGGUCAAUGGGCGAGAGCCUGAACCAGCCAAGUAGCGUGAAGGAUGACUGCCCUAUGGGUUGUAAACUUCUUUUAUAAAGGAAUAAAGUCGGGUAUGCAUACCCGUUUGCAUGUACUUUAUGAAUAAGGAUCGGCUAACUCCGUGCCAGCAGCCGCGGUAAUACGGAGGAUCCGAGCGUUAUCCGGAUUUAUUGGGUUUAAAGGGAGCGUAGAUGGAUGUUUAAGUCAGUUGUGAAAGUUUGCGGCUCAACCGUAAAAUUGCAGUUGAUACUGGAUAUCUUGAGUGCAGUUGAGGCAGGCGGAAUUCGUGGUGUAGCGGUGAAAUGCUUAGAUAUCACGAAGAACUCCGAUUGCGAAGGCAGCCUGCUAAGCUGCAACUGACAUUGAGGCUCGAAAAGUGUGGGUAUCAAACAGGAUUAGAUACCCUGGUAGUCCACACGGUAAACGAUGAAUACUCGCUGUUUGCGAUAUACAGCAAGCGGCCAAGCGAAAGCGUUAAGUAUUCCACCUGGGGAGUACGCCGGCAACGGUGAAACUCAAAGGAAUUGACGGGGGCCCGCACAAGCGGAGGAACAUGUGGUUUAAUUCGAUGAUACGCGAGGAACCUUACCCGGGCUUAAAUUGCAGAUGAAUUACGGUGAAAGCCGUAAGCCGCAAGGCAUCUGUGAAGGUGCUGCAUGGUUGUCGUCAGCUCGUGCCGUGAGGUGUCGGCUUAAGUGCCAUAACGAGCGCAACCCUUGUUGUCAGUUACUAACAGGUUCCGCUGAGGACUCUGACAAGACUGCCAUCGUAAGAUGUGAGGAAGGUGGGGAUGACGUCAAAUCAGCACGGCCCUUACGUCCGGGGCUACACACGUGUUACAAUGGGGGGUACAGAGGGCCGCUACCACGCGAGUGGAUGCCAAUCCCCAAAACCUCUCUCAGUUCGGACUGGAGUCUGCAACCCGACUCCACGAAGCUGGAUUCGCUAGUAAUCGCGCAUCAGCCACGGCGCGGUGAAUACGUUCCCGGGCCUUGUACACACCGCCCGUCAAGCCAUGGGAGCCGGGGGUACCUGAAGUGCGUAACCGCGAGGAGCGCCCUAGGGUAAAACUGGUGACUGGGGCU